GAGUUUGAUCAUGGCUCAGAUUGAACGCUGGCGGCAGGCCUAACACAUGCAAGUCGAGCGGAUGACGGGAGCUUGCUCCUUGAUUCAGCGGCGGACGGGUGAGUAAUGCCUAGGAAUCUGCCUGGUAGUGGGGAACAACGUUUCGAAAGGAACGCUAAUACCGCAUACGUCCUACGGGAGAAAGCAGGGGACCUUCGGGCCUUGCGCUAUCAGAUGAGCCUAGGUCGGAUUAGCUAGUUGGUGGGGUAAUGGCUCACCAAGGCGACGAUCCGUAACUGGUCUGAGAGGAUGAUCAGUCACACUGGAACUGAGACACGGUCCAGACUCCUACGGGAGGCAGCAGUGGGGAAUAUUGGACAAUGGGCGAAAGCCUGAUCCAGCCAUGCCGCGUGUGUGAAGAAGGUCUUCGGAUUGUAAAGCACUUUAAGUUGGGAGGAAGGGCAGUAAGUUAAUACCUUGCUGUUUGACGUUACCGACAGAAUAAGCACCGGCUAACUCUGUGCCAGCACGG
This 511-nucleotide ribosomal RNA is filed under the name bacterium enrichment culture clone ALO1_GLFRUDD03GI15V. RNAcentral's name for it is "bacterial SSU rRNA". It matches the Rfam family "Bacterial small subunit ribosomal RNA", at positions 9 to 516 of the family's 1533-position model. The record is from RNAcentral.